CUCCAAUCAAUGAAACUGAUCUCUCCGUGAAGAAGCGGAGAUUUAACUAUAAGACGAGAAGACCCCAUGGAGCUUUAAACCUGACUACACCCUUAUCUAUUAUACCCCCUUAAUCAACAGGACCCUGUCUGUCAGUUUUAGGUUGGGGUGACCACGGAGCACAAAUAAACCUCCAUGAUGAACUGGACUAACCCAUUAUCUAAGAAAAACACCUCAAAGAAUUAGCACACUAACAUAAAAUGAUCCGACACUCGAUCAACGAACCAAGUUACCCUGGGGAUAACAGCGCAAUCUACUUCAAGAGCCCAUAUCGACAAGUGGGUUUACGACCUCGAUGUUGGAUCAGGGUAUCCUAGUGGUGCAGCAGCUACUAAAGGUUCGUUUGUUCAACGAUUAAAACCCU
RNAcentral lists this ribosomal RNA (403 nucleotides) under Spinomantis aglavei. RNAcentral describes it as "partial 16S ribosomal RNA". It matches the Rfam family "Bacterial large subunit ribosomal RNA", at positions 2027 to 2597 of the family's 2925-position model. The record is from RNAcentral. Lineage: Eukaryota; Metazoa; Chordata; Amphibia; Anura; Mantellidae.